This 253-nucleotide ribosomal RNA is filed under the name uncultured bacterium. Its description in RNAcentral is "partial 16S ribosomal RNA". It matches the Rfam family "Bacterial small subunit ribosomal RNA", at positions 524 to 776 of the family's 1533-position model. The record is from RNAcentral.
GACGGAGGGUGCAAGCGUUGCUCGGAAUUAUUGGGCGUAAAGGGUGCGUAGGCGGCUUUUUAAGUCUGACGUGAAAGCCCAGGGCUCAGCCUUGGAAGUGCGCUAGAAACUGGAAGGCUAGAGUGCCGGAGGGGAGAGUGGAAUUCCUGGUGUAGCGGUGAAAUGCGUAGAUAUCAGGAGGAAUACCGGUGGCGAAAGCGACUCUCUGGACGGUAACUGACGCUGAGGCACGAAAGCGUGGGGAGCAAACAGG